This 291-nucleotide ribosomal RNA is filed under the name uncultured bacterium. Its description in RNAcentral is "partial 16S ribosomal RNA". It matches the Rfam family "Bacterial small subunit ribosomal RNA", at positions 773 to 1060 of the family's 1533-position model. The record is from RNAcentral.
GUGGAUUAGAUACCCUGGUAGUCCACGCCCUAAACGAUGUCAACUAGGUGUUGGGAGGGUUAAACCUUUUAGUGCCGUAGCUAACGCGUGAAGUUGACCGCCUGGGGAGUACGGCCGCAAGGCUAAAACUCAAAGGAAUUGACGGGGACCCGCACAAGCGGUGGAUGAUGUGGAUUAAUUCGAUGCAACGCGAAAAACCUUACCUACCCUUGACAUGUCAGGAAUCCCGAAGAGAUUUGGGAGUGCUCGAAAGAGAGCCUGAACACAGGUGCUGCACGGCUGUCGACAGCU